CCUGCACCCAUCUUGUACGCAUUUCCUCAGCCCGAGGUCCAUCCACCUAUCCCAGAUGCAUCUCCACCCAUGGUAGAUGCAUCUCCUCAGCCCGAGGUCCCUUCACCCACCCCACCUUCGCAGCCCAGUUUUGAUCUCGGUAUUAAUUUUCAUUUGACCCCCUCCUAUACACCCCGAGACACCCUCAUACCCACCCACCUGCUCUAGUGCACCCACUAUGCCCAUAGACCCACCUACCUCAUCCUCAUUUGACCUUUUAGGACCUCUAGUUGGGAUUGACACUGUACAGCUAGCUAUACCGGAUGAGCAUCCCCCUCCUCAGCUCGCACCCCCACAAGGUAGACCGCAAUGUGUUAGAAGAGCACCCACUUGUGGGACAGGUGGACACAAAAUAGGACGUGCAGACAGCUCUAUGCCUAAGGAUGAUGCCCCGCAGCCUCCUCCCCCGCCCAAACAUUACACGAGGGUUAAAAAAUGCAAAAUUGGUGAACCUUGAAAAAGAGGAUUAAUUAUGCAUUGUAUGAAGAGCUUGAUGCAGAAUAUGUGGAGCACACAAGAGAUGUGUAUGGGGAGUGUCUGAAGCAAAUUCCUCAUGAGAGAUUCUCUUUUGCAAAAUUAUGGCUUCUAGCUGCUCAAUUUGAGAUCCGGCAGCUAAAUCUCAAGGCUGCACGACAAAUCCUGGGAAAUGCAAUUGGCAAAGCUCCUAAAGAUAAGAUAUUCAACAAGUAUAUUGAGAUAGAGCUUCAGCUUGGAAAUAUAGACCGUGGCCGAAAGCUUUGUGAGAAGUAUUUGGAGUGGGCGCCUGAAAACUGUUAUGCAUGGAGCAAGUAUGCGGAGUUAGAGAGAUCUUUGUGUGCGACUGAGCGACCUAGGGCAAUCUUUGAGCUUGCAAUUGCCCAACCAGCACUGGAUAUGCCGGAGUUAUUGUGGAAGGGGUUUUUGAGAAAGCCAUUAACUACUACAGAACAUCUGCACCUGAGUAAAAAGAGGAAAGAGCAAUGCUACUAGAAUGGUGGCUGAACAUGGAGAGCAGUUUUGGGGAGCUUGGUGAUAUUAGUUUAGUCCAGGCUAAGCUGCCAAAGAAGCUGAAAAAGAGGAGGCAGAUGGUGUAUGAGGAUGGUCCGGCUGGGUAUGAGGAAUACAUCGAUUAUAUGUUCCCUGAGGAAACUCAGACGACUAAUCUUAAACUCUUGGAAGCUGCCUAUAAGUGGAAGAAGCAAAAGAUUUCUGAUGAAGACUAGCAUGGUUACCUGAUUUUGUAGAAUUUUAGCUUUUGGUGUAAAUACACAAUUGUUUUUUUUGUAUGUUAAUUGGGUGAAAAUGAAGUAGUUUAGCUGCUAAUCAUAUUUUUCUGGAAUGAACGAUUGCACCCCCAAAAUCAGUUGAGGGAACUUAAGAGUUGUACGGAGUGUCUAGAUUAGAUUCUGAGAAUUUAUUAUCAUAGUGAUGAAUCAAGCAUAUCCUUCUAGGCUGAAAUUUAUUUUAUCAAUUCCUGAAAUGCACUUUGAACU
This is an RNA transcript of Quercus robur (English oak), 1511 nucleotides long. RefSeq lists it as uncharacterized. The transcript has 7 exons. The record is from RefSeq and is a predicted model, not a curated record. Lineage: Eukaryota; Viridiplantae; Streptophyta; Magnoliopsida; Fagales; Fagaceae.